Molecule: transfer RNA, 71 nt
Filed under: Iconaster longimanus
Lineage: Eukaryota; Metazoa; Echinodermata; Asteroidea; Valvatida; Goniasteridae
Description: tRNA-Thr
Source: RNAcentral
GCUCUGAAAGCUAAAAAACAGCAAUUAAUCUUGUAAAUUAAAUAAUUUAGGUGAAAACCCUUUUCAGAGCU